This 680-nucleotide long non-coding RNA is filed under the name Dicentrarchus labrax (European seabass). RNAcentral describes it as "lncRNA (ENSDLAG00005026524.1)". Lineage: Eukaryota; Metazoa; Chordata; Actinopteri; Moronidae. The record is from RNAcentral.
UCGGUCAGGUGCAGUUACAACAUUAACGAUGUAACUGCAUUUAUAUGGACAAAACACAAACGUGUUUAAUUAUCGUGAUAAUUAGUUAUAGGUUGACAGAUAUUGAUUAGUGUGAAAGUAUUUAUAAAAAUGUUAAAGUGUUAAAUAUUGAAUUAUAUUGGCUGCAGACAAGAAACAAGAUUCACUGUAGGAAUGGGUGAAAGGCUCUGUGCAGUGAGAGAAGGGGAGGGGUUAUAGAUGUCAAAGCACAGUGAGCCCGUGAACAGGAGGGAGGGAGGGGGGAGGGAGACGUGAGAGAGCAAGAGAAGACAGAGACUACACACUGGAAAGGAAGAAGUGACAGGAAACAUUGGGACGAUCCUACAGCACAGAUGGAUCGAUACAGAGACAGGACGACUCUCAACCAUGAAGAGCUGAGCAGAGGAAUCGUGACCCUGCUGAUCUCCUCAGUACAACUGUCUGACAGCGGGCUGUACAAAUGCUACAUCCCAAAGCUGAAGGUUGGUUGUACCAUCAAACUCACUGUCGUAGAAGAAGACCAACAGACCACAACUGGACCUCCAGAGGAAGACGUGACUGAGCCAAACAAUGCCAAUGUUGGGAACAGGUUUGCGGCUCGUGCUUGUAUCAUUACUGCUGCUGUUGUUACUCUCUACGUUCUCGUUGUUCUGGUUCUGUGA